ACGCUAGCUACAGGCUUAACACAUGCAAGUCGAGGGGAAACGGCAUUGAGUGCUUGCACUCUUUGGACGUCGACCGGCGCACGGGUGAGUAACGCGUAUCCAACCUUCCCAUUACUGUGGGAUAACCUGCCGAAAGGCAGACUAAUACCGCAUAGUCUUCGAUGACGGCAUCAGAUUUGAAGUAAAGAUUUAUCGGUAAUGGAUGGGGAUGCGUCUGAUUAGCUUGUUGGCGGGGUAACGGCCCACCAAGGCUACGAUCAGUAGGGGUUCUGAGAGGAAGGUCCCCCACAUUGGAACUGAGACACGGUCCAAACUCCUACGGGAGGCAGCAGUGAGGAAUAUUGGUCAAUGGACGGAAGUCUGAACCAGCCAAGUAGCGUGCAGGAUGACGGCCCUAUGGGUUGUAAACUGCUUUUGUAUGGGGAUAAAGUUAGGGACGUGUCCCUAUUUGCAGGUACCAUACGAAUAAGGACCGGCUAAUUCCGUGCCAGCAGCCGCGGUAAUACGGAAGGUCCAGGCGUUAUCCGGAUUUAUUGGGUUUAAAGGGAGCGUAGGCUGGAGAUUAAGUGUGUUGUGAAAUGUAGACGCUCAACGUCAGAAUUGCAGCGCAUACUGGUUUCCUUGAGUACGCACAACGUUGGCGGAAUUCGUCGUGUAGCGGUGAAAUGCUUAGAUAUGACGAAGAACUCCGAUUGCGAAGGCAGCUGACGGGAGCGCAACUGACGCUUAAGCUCGAAGGUGCGGGUAUCAAACAGGAUUAGAUACCCUGGUAGUCCGCACAGUAAACGAUGGAUGCCCGCUGUUGGUACCUGGUAUCAGCGGCUAAGCGAAAGCAUUAAGCAUCCCACCUGGGGAGUACGCCGGCAACGGUGAAACUCAAAGGAAUUGACGGGGGCCCGCACAAGCGGA
This 909-nucleotide ribosomal RNA is filed under the name uncultured bacterium. RNAcentral's name for it is "bacterial SSU rRNA". It matches the Rfam family "Bacterial small subunit ribosomal RNA", at positions 33 to 933 of the family's 1533-position model. The record is from RNAcentral.